ACAGCCACAUCAUGGUAAAACACCUGUUCCCAUAUGAUCACCGAAGUUAAGUAACGUUGAGCUUGAUCAGCGCCUAGAUGGUUGACCGCUUGGGAAUACCAGGUGCUGUUA
Acanthosepion pharaonis is the source of this 111-nucleotide non-coding RNA. NCBI's taxonomy places the organism in Eukaryota, Metazoa, Mollusca, Cephalopoda, Sepiida, Sepiidae. The record is from the annotation of a GenBank genome assembly.